GGCACACAAGGCAGCCGGGGGCUGCAAGAGGACAGCUCAAGCCCUCAGCAUUACAGGCAAAUAUCGACCGACUGACCAAUGUGGCCGAUUUUCGAACUGCUGGUUCGAUCUGAGAAUUUGAACCUGCAUGAAAAUCAUCUCUGUUCGCAAUACGGAGGAUCCAUCUGCCUAAGGGGCUUUUUCCCCCUACUUUCCUCUAGUCGCUAAUUACUUUAGGCAAUCUUCUCGAAGAAAAGACCUGCAACCAUUCAAAACUAGGGGGCUACUUGGCGCGCUCUAUUGUCUCAAAAGUCAAAUCGUGGCGCAUCCGCCUCGAAAGGAGGAUCGAUGCCCCUGCAGGCAAAAGGACGUCAACAGCAGACAAAGUG
Molecule: small RNA, 368 nt
Filed under: Histoplasma ohiense
Lineage: Eukaryota; Fungi; Ascomycota; Eurotiomycetes; Onygenales; Ajellomycetaceae
Description: hypothetical lncRNA
Source: RNAcentral